GUGUAUUGCACCGGAGACUGAAAGAAGGGUGAGGUUUUGGGGGCUCUGAUGUGCAAGUGUUGCCACCUUUAAAUGGCCCCUUACUCUCAUAAUCAGUGCUGAGUAGUGGCAAGGGGGAGAAAAUGGAAAAGUUGGCAUGGGAGAGAAGGCAGAUCCAGAAGAUAGGAUACAGCUCAGCCCUGAGAAUGUGGCCUGAUUUUCUCUUCUGUUAUUACAACUGCUCUUCUGCUUGAGUUUCUUCUACACCUUCAAGAUGGCUGAAGAACAAGACGCUUUCUCUCCAUGUCUAUGCUGUUUCACUAUGCUGCAAAUAUUCCCAGCCUUUUCCCCUUGAUGCCCAAAAUAAAUUCCUCAAAUACCCUGA
This 364-nucleotide long non-coding RNA is filed under the name Homo sapiens (human). Its description in RNAcentral is "non-protein coding LINC01506:6". The record is from RNAcentral. Lineage: Eukaryota; Metazoa; Chordata; Mammalia; Primates; Hominidae.